AAAACUGAGGAAGAAAACUGACAAGGUUUUCAAGGGAAUUUCCAGGUCACCCAGAGAACUCGCCUUGCCUUGUUCUACUUCCUACAAGUCUCUAAGCACUUCAUGCUUUACUAGAAUCUUGUAAAUACAAAAAAAAAAAAAAAAAAAGAAGACACACAACAAGUCAACAACGUAACAAUGUUUGGCAUCACUAAAAAGAUGGUACUUUGGUGAAAGGUAGAAAUUGGAAAAAUAAAGCUCAGGACAACCUUCAAGUUUUUCUCUAUUCAUGCUACCCUCUUUUUUUGGUAACCACAGUUAAUUAAGAGUUAUAAGCAUAAAACAGUGUUUCUUUCAAGUGGCAUGCUUAUGUGGGGGAAGAAAAGAUGAAAGGGAGGCAGCUCAGUGGAGAAGGAGCAUAUUGCUAAUCAAAAAUGAAAUUUCUCCAUCAGGCUGAGAAUCUACGAUGGCCAGUGAGCUGGUAUGAUUCAUACGAAGUUCCAUGUCUCACUUAUCUCUCCAAAUCAUGGUUCUUCACGAGGGAGCCCUUCUUCAGGCUGUUCUUCCGCUCCACGUAGUUGGACGGUACAUAGCCCGUCCUGUUGGCCGCGUUCCUCACCCGCCACCACGUCUUGGAGUCGUCCAGCAACCACAGCCGCUCGUUCUUCUUGAUGUCCAGCUCCUGGUCCUGCUGGGCGGUGUAGUCCCACUUGGCUAUCACAAUAACUUCUUCUGUCAUCUUUCAUGGAGUCCUUCUGCCAGCAAAACAUUUGGAGAUGCUCAUUAGAGAACUACCCGGACACUUCAUCCUUUGCACCAACU
Molecule: long non-coding RNA, 801 nt
Filed under: Homo sapiens (human)
Lineage: Eukaryota; Metazoa; Chordata; Mammalia; Primates; Hominidae
Description: NCK2 antisense RNA 1
Source: RNAcentral